GACCGCUAAAAUACAAAACUGUCUAAGAUUCGGUAUGCCCUUGUGUUUUGGACUAAUGGACCUGACAAGGAUGCACGUAGUAUCAUACCAACAAAAUGGAUAAUUGACCCGACGGAUAUUUCAAAGACAUUUUGUGGAAUGUCGCAUAGCUAACACGAAGAAGCCUGUCAACGGAUGGGAAGUUGAGUGUGCGGUGGUGAUACAGUUAGCAGAGAUUCCAGCCAUGUUAAUGGACAUGAGAACAGUUUUCACCAAGAAUAAUUCCUCCAAAGAUCCCAACAUCUCUGAGAUUCUAAGUGAGGGGGAAACUGUGACACCUUCCAAACAGAAAUGAAACGGGGAUGAUGGCACCACCACUGUCUCAACCCAUUGUUGGGAGACAGCAAAUGCACAAAAUUCCCCCAGUGGGAUGGCACGAGUGCUGCUGAUGGGCCUUGUCAGUGUUGAUGUUCUCCUGAAGUCCAACCUGACCCAACCCCUGAUCCCACAGCAGAGCAACAACAGGCUCUUGAUGGGGAAAAAAGUGCAAGCUUUACUUGAUGCAGUUGGAAACCACCAUCCAGGAACCAAGGGAUCAGAUGUAAGAAAAUCCAUCAACACAAGAAUCUGUGAGUUAAGGCACCAAGUGAAGA
Sphaeramia orbicularis (orbiculate cardinalfish) is the source of this 632-nucleotide long non-coding RNA. RefSeq lists it as uncharacterized. The transcript has 4 exons. Lineage: Eukaryota; Metazoa; Chordata; Actinopteri; Kurtiformes; Apogonidae. The record is from RefSeq and is a predicted model, not a curated record.